This 497-nucleotide ribosomal RNA is filed under the name Staphylococcus hominis. RNAcentral describes it as "bacterial SSU rRNA". It matches the Rfam family "Bacterial small subunit ribosomal RNA", at positions 49 to 527 of the family's 1533-position model. The record is from RNAcentral. Lineage: Bacteria; Bacillati; Bacillota; Bacilli; Caryophanales; Staphylococcaceae.
CUAUACAUGCAGUCGAGCGAACAGACGAGGAGCUUGCUCCUUUGACGUUAGCGGCGGACGGGUGAGUAACACGUGGGUAACCUACCUAUAAGACUGGGAUAACUUCGGGAAACCGGAGCUAAUACCGGAUAAUAUUUCGAACCGCAUGGUUCGAUAGUGAAAGAUGGCUCUGCUAUCACUUAUAGAUGGACCUGCGCCGUAUUAGCUAGUUGGUAAGGUAACGGCUUACCAAGGCAACGAUACGUAGCCGACCUGAGAGGGUGAUCGGCCACACUGGAACUGAGACACGGUCCAGACUCCUACGGGAGGCAGCAGUAGGGAAUCUUCCGCAAUGGGCGAAAGCCUGACGGAGCAACGCCGCGUGAGUGAUGAAGGUCUUCGGAUCGUAAAACUCUGUUAUUAGGGAAGAACAAACGUGUAAGUAACUGUGCACGUCUUGACGGUACCUAAUCAGAAAGCCACGGCUAACUACGUGCCAGCAGCGGCCGGGUAAUAAA